This 732-nucleotide ribosomal RNA is filed under the name Triticum aestivum (bread wheat). RNAcentral describes it as "partial small subunit ribosomal RNA". Lineage: Eukaryota; Viridiplantae; Streptophyta; Magnoliopsida; Poales; Poaceae. The record is from RNAcentral.
AUGGAGCAUGACCUUGAUAACAGUAGGAAGAACUCCAAUUUCAGACCAAGACCUGCCUCGGCUCCUAGUGGGUCUAGAAACAGAACUCAUACUAUGGAUGCUAUCUCUUCCCCUGUUCUCUCUGGGGUGGAGAUGAAUAUCAACAUCCCUUUGGAGAGAUCAGUUUUCUUGAAGAUUCAGGAUGCUCCACUUACCAAAAGCUACCUGCAAGCUGUUAAGAAAACCCCAGUGGAGAAUUGUGGUACUAUCCUUCUUCCUGAGUUUGAAGCUGCUUCAAAAUAUGGGGUGACCAGAUCUGAAAAUUUCCCUGCUCCUCUUGGGGGGUUAAUUCCUUGCCCCUCCCUUACAGCUACCCUUAAAGCUGGGAGAGACAAAUGGGGCCCUGUUGUUUCCACUAGGAUGAGUGACAGGAUCAAGAGAGAUGGGAAGCCAGCCCUGGUCAAAGCUCAAGAAAUUAAGCAGAUGAAGAACUUGGAGACCCCUAGAGGUGAGUUAAAUGAGAUUUGGAAGAAAGAGGAAAUCAAGGCCAUGCAGAGAGCUAGGGAAAGGGACAUUAGAGAGGGAGAUCUGAACUCUGACUACUUUCAAGCCCUGGCCAAUCAGAAGAGGAGGAAGAAGCAUAUUGUUGUGCUAGAAACUGCUGGUGGCCCAGUUGAAGACACUAAAGGUGUUGUGGCGCAAGACGGCCUCGUACGCUGCACGGUGGGAACCGCUGUCUGUAGACCCUGUUAA